Octopus sinensis (East Asian common octopus) is the source of this 468-nucleotide long non-coding RNA. RefSeq lists it as uncharacterized. NCBI's taxonomy places the organism in Eukaryota, Metazoa, Mollusca, Cephalopoda, Octopoda, Octopodidae. The record is from RefSeq and is a predicted model, not a curated record. The transcript is spliced from 2 exons.
AUUGAAAAAAAUAGAAAGGCUUUAUUGUUGGUAUAUUAAUCCAUAUCAUUUCUUUUGCUGACAUUUGCUGGCAACGACGCUUUUGCAAUGUGUUAAUAAUUCUGAUCUAUGUCUUCACUUUCGAUUCCAAUUUCUUCACCUCUUCCCGACUAAAUUUCAUCUUCAUUACAGUGACAAGUCACCAUAAAUACAAUGUAAAUGAACGGCAAAAGUACAUGGAAAUAAGAAAGGCCACCAACUUAACAACGCCGAAGAAAAGGAAAACACUUAAAAAUUACGACGAAGGAUUUUAAGAAAAGUUGAUCGAAUUAGAUCGAAUAUCGUGUGUAGAGUCUUUGCUUUGUAAGAUUUUUGCCUUAGCUGUUUAUUUCUGUCUCUGGACAUCCUGACCGCGGCUGUCUGGGCGUGUCUAUUGUAGCUGUGAGGAGAUGCUCCGUCCCUUGAAUAAAAUAAAACAUUUUCUUCUUU